CACGUAGGGGCCAAGCGUUGUCCGGAUUCAUUGGGCGUAAAGAGCUCGUAGGCGGUUCAGUCAGUCGGGUGUGAAAUCUCCGGGCUCAACUCGGAGGGGCCACCCGAUACUGCUGUGACUCGAGUCCGGUAGGGGAGUGGGGAAUUCCUGGUGUAGCGGUGAAAUGCGCAGAUAUCAGGAAGAACACCCGUGGCUAAGGCGGCUCUCUAGUACGGUACUGACGCUGAGACGCGAAAGCGUGGGGAGCGAACAGG
This 254-nucleotide ribosomal RNA is filed under the name uncultured bacterium. RNAcentral describes it as "partial 16S ribosomal RNA". It matches the Rfam family "Bacterial small subunit ribosomal RNA", at positions 524 to 776 of the family's 1533-position model. The record is from RNAcentral.